This is a non-coding RNA of Mycena latifolia, 94 nucleotides long. The record is from the annotation of a GenBank genome assembly. Lineage: Eukaryota; Fungi; Basidiomycota; Agaricomycetes; Agaricales; Mycenaceae.
GGCCUGGUGGUGUAAUGGUAACACAUCCUCUCUGAAUUAGCAGUUGUUGGUAUCCUUUCUGGAGAAGUCCCCUGUUCGAAUCAGGGUCAGGCCA